This is a long non-coding RNA of Acipenser ruthenus (sterlet), 2664 nucleotides long. RefSeq lists it as uncharacterized. Lineage: Eukaryota; Metazoa; Chordata; Actinopteri; Acipenseriformes; Acipenseridae. The transcript is spliced from 3 exons. The record is from RefSeq and is a predicted model, not a curated record.
CACGCUUGCCUGAUUUGACGCGUCACUCGCCCUGUCUGCUGUGCCAUGCAGUCCUUGGUUUCACCUGUCACCAAAGCCAUCUUCAUCGCCUUAUUUCUGUUCACUAUUCUCCUCAUUCUCUAUGUAAUCCUGUGGUACAUUUGCAGAGAUGCUGAUAACGAUUACAUUUAACAUUGGAGAAUGGCGAUACAAGAGGUGACAAGGUGCCAUUUCUGAUGUGCACGCUUGGAUGGAAGGUGAUGUUUGGCUCUGAUAAGAAGUGGGCAGAAAUCAAGGGAGACUUGAAAUAAACAGUUUAGACAGAUGAAGAUCCAACUGAACUUCCCACAGCUCACCAGAUAUCUGGAAGAGGAUUUGCUUUUUUGAAAAUAUUUGGGGCCUAAAUGAUUUGGCAUUUCAGCAGUUGGGACUCUUGCUCGGUGACAUUUUGUUCAAGAAGUUUGAAAUAUAUCCCUGGCUGGUGCGGUAAUCAUUUCAUUUCGAUGGAAUUAAAAAUGGCACUGUCUGUUCAAAAUGUCUUUCACAAGGACAGCCUUUUGAUCCUCCGCGCGUUGUGUGCCACUGUGAAAUGUGUUUAAUGAGAUUGUCAUUGGUCUGUUUUUGUGUAUUUGAACUGCUUUCAAAUGCAGUGUGGCUUUCUAGAUCCAUUGUAUCCAUGAUAUAAUGAUCCUGUAUGCUUAAUUGUUAAGAGUCAUUGAGGUAUUCAGGUUUUCCUUUUAUUGAAUAGUAAAGAAGGAUUUGCACUGUGAAGUAGCAUUUGCACUAUAUACUGUAUAUUUCUAUUCUAUUCUAUAUAUUAUUAGAAUUAGGAAGAGUGUAUUCUAGGUUUAGCACUAAUCUUGUUUAUGUUAUUCAAAUUCUAGGUCCUGGUUUUGUCCUGUCCAUACAGUUUAAUUGGAAGUGUGGUCAAUGUGAAUUUAGUGUGUAUUAAUGUUGAGAGACAAUGGCACUGUCUACAGUCAGGUGUGCUGCUUUCUUCUCUCCAAGCCAAGUAUAUCGAGCAAAGACUCUAAGGACACUUUGCCUUAUUGACAAAAAGCAGCACCAUACAGUUGUUUGGUGUUAUUCAUUUUAAAACCAUGUAAAAUUCCAUAUUUGCUUCCUGUCUGCUUGUGUUGUUUACAGUGACGUAAGCAGUGAUCUGACUGGCUAUGGGUGAGUGCAUGCUGCAUAAUGUAUGCACCUGGCAGCUCCCUGCUUUGUGAUUGGCUGUGCUCCCAGUCUCAAUGUUGAGCCAUGGGUGUGUAAAGUAAGUGUCCUCACAGCUCUGAGGUGAUCCUGACCUGAGAACCCCCUGCCUGGGCCUCUCUUAAGCAGAGGCUGCUGAGUCGUGUGGUGGUUUCAUAUGUGGAGCGGAGACCGUCAAAUGCAUUAUAUAUAAGUGGCCUGAGCUAGUUCAAAACAGCCUGCUGCAGCAUCUACCCCCUUUUUUAAUGGAAAAUGAUUUGCUCCUAAAAUAAAAGCCGCAUACAAAUCAGAGCAUGACCUGAUAUUGUUGCAUAGAAUUGUGUUUUAUAUUGUAAAAAAGAAAGAGGGCUGUGACACCCCUCCACCCCAUGCAUUCAUUUCUGAUUUCAAUUCCAAUCUACAGCACAGGGAGGGUUCAGUCAGUUCUUGUAAUGAGAGAGGUAAAUCGGGCUGAGUCAAGCCUGUUUCGUGGGCUCUCUCAUGGAUUUAGAAUUUGCCAGUGCGGUUGGUUCGUACUAACCAGUUAGUGUCUGUUUUAAUGGGGCUGAUGGCUUGAAAAAGAAUAAUGCAGUCAUCUGUCAAAGUUUCUCACUGAAAUAAACGAUUAUGUAUUAUAAUUUAGUGAAUAAAGAACCAAACAAGCAAGAUGGGCCGAAUGGCCUCCUCUCGUUUGCAAACUUUCUUAUGUUUUUAUAAUUUAAUACAAAAUGUAGAAAUAGUAAUUCUAAUAAAUCGAAACUAUCCCCCAAAAUAAAAGGGGUUCUUUUAUCUAAAGAAUAAUUUAAAUAAAUCUUACAUGUCAUGAACUUCAGUUUACUAUGCAGAUCUCAGUUUUGAAGACAUUGAAAAAGACUUGUAGUCAAAACACUUGUCAUUGAAUUUAAGGUUCUUUUAGUAUUUCUAAACUGAAAGACACGCACCAGCAAACAUGUGUUUUAAUUUCAAACUGUAUAACCGGUAGCUUCUUAAUUACCCUAUUGAGAACAGGAAAGAUGAUUGACAGAGCUUAAUUAUCCUAACAUUGUCAGCUCUGUCAAUCUACAUGCCUGCUCUCAACAAACAAGGCGGUGAAGCCAAGGAUCCUGCCCACAAUGCACCUGCACUGUGGGCACCAGGACACCUCCUAGGAACCCCAUGGUCCUAAAGCUCUAUAGGUACUGCAGCUCAUUUACAUGCCAUCACAAAGGCAUACUAGUGGCAGACUAUAACAUGUUUCUUUCAAAACUGCACAUUUGAGGUCUACAUAGUAAAUGGAAGUGCAUGCUUUUCCCAUUGUUAUACUAUAGUUUACCAUGGUUUAACAUGUUUUUAACAUGCUCUACCAUACCUCUUUGGGCUUUACAAUGUUAUUUAUUGAUGCUGUGUGUACAUUGUUGUAUGUUUCUUUUGUACUGUGCCGUGCUGUAAGCUGAAGACAAAUUUCCAUUUUAUGCUCUAUUUAUUGGACAAUAAAGCUUUUUUGAAUUUGAAUUUGAA